Molecule: long non-coding RNA, 1048 nt
Filed under: Marmota monax (woodchuck)
Lineage: Eukaryota; Metazoa; Chordata; Mammalia; Rodentia; Sciuridae
Source: RNAcentral
GUGAGUGUGGAGGUGGCAAGCAGCAGUGGGGGGCAGGAUGACAUCAUAGAGCUUCUGGGUCCACACAUGCCUGAAGCCUGCCGACCUGAUUACGUGAGCCAACUAAUUCUCUCCCGGCCACGGCGAGCACUCAAAACAGGCUCACCCAACGCCACCCCCAAUCCCUCUCGCACUCUACUAGAGCCCCAAAACCUCAAUCGAUACUUCCCAUCCUCCUUUGCAGCAAGGAUGACAUGUGACCUUUAUGGCCGAUGGUGAAGUCCCUGAGGAGGACGGGCCUUCCUGAAUGACAGGAAACCCUCUCAGGGGACUGCAGGCUGGCUUUCCCACUUCCGGCCCUUCCACUUUCCUGCUGCUUGGAACGUGGAGGGGCUGGGAGGUGCCACCAUCUUGCAGCUCCAAGGUGACAAGCCAGCACGAGAUUCAGGACAAGUGCAGACUGUGACCGGACCAGAAGGAGCCAGGAGCCCGGUGGCAUUACUGGCUGUUUGCAGUGGGGGGCUCAGCUGGCGGCUCCUGGCACCUGCAGAGGAGGGCACACGGCCAGGGCCUGGAGCCUUUGAAGAGGGAGUGGCCUCCCACCCUGACCAGCUCUGCCCCUUUCCUUCCAGUGAGGCUGCCUGUCUCCUGCCCCCUGCAGCGGUGCUGUGGGUGCCCUUAGAGCCUGAAGGCGGAUCCGUGGAGAUGUGGGGGUGCUGUUCUCCUGUGGUUGCUGCUGGCAGGAGGGCCUGAGAGUGUGCCACAGCUGGACUGUGUCCCAGCACCCGGGCACCUGCUCCUGGGGAACAGCAGCAAUGGCAGCCUCCUAACCCCUGGGGGCGGUCAUAGUGGUGAGUUUGGAGUGGCCCCUGACUCUCUCCUCCAUGUUGCGGAGUCUGUAGCAGCAACCCCAGGUCACUUCCGGGGUCUUCUGGGAGCCAUGCCUGCGCCCACCCCAGCGACCACCCCCUGAGCACGUCGCAGGAUUUUUCGAGCACCCAAUCCCCUGUGUCAAAUCUCCUCCUGCUGAAGGCACCUGGGGAGGUGGUUUCUAGUUCCCGCACCAGAG